Molecule: transfer RNA, 72 nt
Filed under: Candidatus Omnitrophota bacterium
Lineage: Bacteria; Pseudomonadati; Candidatus Omnitrophota
Description: tRNA-His
Rfam family: tRNA
About the family: Transfer RNA (tRNA) molecules are approximately 80 nucleotides in length. Their secondary structure includes four short double-helical elements and three loops (D, anti-codon, and T loops).
Source: RNAcentral
GUGAGUGUAGCUCAGCGGAAGAGCACUGGACUGUGGCUCCAGGAGUCGGGGGUUCAAAUCCCCUCACUCACC